RNAcentral lists this long non-coding RNA (547 nucleotides) under Heterocephalus glaber (naked mole-rat). RNAcentral's name for it is "lncRNA (ENSHGLG00100033754.1)". Lineage: Eukaryota; Metazoa; Chordata; Mammalia; Rodentia; Bathyergidae. The record is from RNAcentral.
UGGGUUCAAUACCCAGAAGAAAGGAAAGAAAGAAAGAAAGAAAGAAAGAAAGAAAGAAAGAAAGAAAGAAAGAAUUGUACUGAGAAUAUUGUAUGUGAUAGGCAUCUGGGCUCUGAGAGUGAGGUUAUGGCACUCUCUCUAACUUCAAGAUGCUCAUCUUCCUUAGGGGAGGCAGAGAGAAGCCAUCAGGUGAGCAGCUUGCUUUAUCACAUGCUCCCAACCAUGAUGUUCUGCCUCACCACAGGUCUAAAUGCAACAGAACCAACUUACCACGGACUGAAACUUCCAGAACGAAAGAAAUAGUUCCUAAUACCUUCACAGAAGAAAGCAAAGGAACAUCAACAGAUGUACUGUGUCUACAUUUAUCCAGUUGUUCCUUCAAAAACUGACAAAUUCUGCACCCAGGAUUUAAGAAGGGAGAGAUAGCCCUCUUCUCUUGCCUAAGUAAAUGCAUCAACCAAAACUUAAGGAGUGAACCAGCUGUCCCUAGGAACCCAUGCAUAAACAAAAGAAAAAGCACAUCCAAAGAAACAGCAAAGACAAAUAA